GGUGGACACUCUGGGUACUGUGGUGUCUUCUAGAGCCGUCUGCAAGGAGGCACCUGGCAGGGCCUGCAAACUUAGCUGAGGAAAGCUUGAUGCUGCUGGGCAGCUGGACUGUUUCUGCUAGGGUGCAGUAUGGACGUAUGUGUGGGAGACUCUGGGACAUGAAGGCUGAUCGGGGAAAAUAAAGUGCUGAAAAUGCCAAACUUCUGAGGCACAGAGGCCCAGAAAUACUUUUUACACUCUGAAAAUAUCAGCAGUGCUUGGUUGCUUGUGCGCUUUCCCGGAAGAAGAGCCGCCAGGGUAGGCUUAAUUUUCUGAUUCUGAGUAGUUUUGAGAAAUGUUGA
Molecule: long non-coding RNA, 341 nt
Organism: Cygnus olor (mute swan)
Lineage: Eukaryota; Metazoa; Chordata; Aves; Anseriformes; Anatidae
Exons: 3
Source: RefSeq, a predicted model, not a curated record